This is a long non-coding RNA of Gigantopelta aegis, 361 nucleotides long. RefSeq lists it as uncharacterized. The record is from RefSeq and is a predicted model, not a curated record. NCBI's taxonomy places the organism in Eukaryota, Metazoa, Mollusca, Gastropoda, Neomphalida, Peltospiridae. The transcript is spliced from 4 exons.
AGCUUACCGGUACCACCCAAAAUAGUAUACAUGUAUUUUACUUCCCGGGCCGACACCUUUUAAUCCAUGACGUAAGGAAAACGCUGACUUUUAAAAACAUUUUUAAAUUAGUCAGCCAAAACAGGAUGACAGAUAUUUGAAUUAUCACGCCUCCGAGCUAUAAAGUUGCUGUGCUUUGCCUAUUCGACGGUUAGUUGUUACAUUCGGAAGACAACGUGUUGUUUUGCUCCAGCUACCAGCUAUGUUGAGAGUUCUUGCCCUCUUGGUGGCGUCCCUCGCCGUGGUUCAGUCGGGUAUCAGCAGCAGGUGUCUUAAUUGUAUCUGUCAGGUAUAGUCCAGCGGCUGUCGUAACAUUGGCUGU